Molecule: long non-coding RNA, 267 nt
Filed under: Vitis vinifera (wine grape)
Lineage: Eukaryota; Viridiplantae; Streptophyta; Magnoliopsida; Vitales; Vitaceae
Description: long non-coding RNA (VVIN_LNC002643)
Source: RNAcentral
CCCAACGCCCCUCUCUUUAUUCCAGCUGCUUUCCGCCAAGUGGAGGAUUUCUCCCCAGAGUGGUGGCAAUUGAUUACCACUUCAACAUGGUUCCGUGAUUACUGGCUCAGCCAGCACCAGGAGGGGGAUAUUUUUAAUUGUAAUAAUGCUGAUGAUGAAUUUGAUGCCAAUGACAUUGCUGACCUGCUGCCAGAUGCAUUUGACUUUGGCACGGAGGAAGACUUCUCACACAUGGAAGCCCAGUUUGAGGAGUUCAUUCAAUCUUCA